This 496-nucleotide ribosomal RNA is filed under the name uncultured bacterium. Its description in RNAcentral is "partial 16S ribosomal RNA". It matches the Rfam family "Bacterial small subunit ribosomal RNA", at positions 29 to 507 of the family's 1533-position model. The record is from RNAcentral.
AUGAACGCUGGCGGCGUGCCUAAUACACGCAAGUCGAGCGAACGGAUGAGAAGCUUGCUUUUCUGAUGUUAGCGGCGGACGGGUGAGUAACACGUGGAUAACCUACCUAUAAGACUGGGAUAACUUCGGGAAACCGGAGCUAAUACCGGAUAAUAUUUUGAACCGCAUGGUUCAAAAGUGAAAGACGGUCUUGCUGUCACUUAUAGAUGGAUCCGCGCUGCAUUAGCUAGUUGGUAAGGUAACGGCUUACCAAGGCAACGAUGCAUAGCCGACCUGAGAGGGUGAUCGGCCACACUGGAACUGAGACACGGUCCAGACUCCUACGGGAGGCAGCAGUAGGGAAUCUUCCGCAAUGGGCGAAAGCCUGACGGAGCAACGCCGCGUGAGUGAUGAAGGUCUUCGGAUCGUAAAACUCUGUUAUUAGGGAAGAACAUAUGUGUAAGUAACUGUGCACAUCUUGACGGUACCUAAUCAGAAAGCCACGGCUAACUACGUG